UACGUAGGGACCAAGCGUUGUUCGGAAUUACUGGGCGUAAAGGGCGCGUAGGCGGCCUGUUAAGUCGAACGUGAAAUCCCCGGGCUCAACCCGGGAACUGCGUCCGAAACUGGCAGGCUCGAAUUCGGGAGAGGGAUGCGGAAUUCCAGGUGUAGCGGUGAAAUGCGUAGAUAUCUGGAGGAACAUCGGUGGCGAAGGCGGCAGUCCUGGACCGAGUAGUUGACGUCGUGAGGCGCGAAAGCCAGGGGAGCAAAGCGGG
Molecule: ribosomal RNA, 259 nt
Filed under: uncultured bacterium
Lineage: Bacteria
Description: partial 16S ribosomal RNA
Rfam family: Bacterial small subunit ribosomal RNA
Source: RNAcentral